UUAUGUGGGUUAUGAUUGGCGUGAAAUAAUAAAAAGCGCACCGGAAAGGUGCGCCAGAAAAUAAUGUUCAGGAUUUU
This 77-nucleotide non-coding RNA is filed under the name Escherichia coli. Lineage: Bacteria; Pseudomonadati; Pseudomonadota; Gammaproteobacteria; Enterobacterales; Enterobacteriaceae. The record is from RNAcentral.